GUUCGAUCCGUAAUUGCCAUUAAAAAUUUCGUUAAUCCACUAAAGGGUUGCUGAUGUUGCAUUUUUUGACUUCUGGCUAAAGCUAGGGAUCUCUUUAUAAUUAGCGCAAAAUACUUUUUUUUUGUUUAUUUGCAACAUAAAAACCGUCAAUCCUCAUCAUCGCCUAACACCUAGCAUAAAAACCACCAAUCUUCAUCACCACUCAACACCCACCGGCUCCAUCUUUAUCGCUCCUCACUCUACUGCCCCCGCACCAUAAGAUCCCUGCAACAAAGUAUUUCACAAUACCUUAAUAGAAACUAAAUUAAUAUUUUCUCUUACUUAAUAGCAAAGUUUGCCUCUCUUUUUUUAGUGGAGUUCGAUUUUUACCCUAAAUAUAAAUUGAAUUUGGUAUUUUAUUGUUAAGUUUCAUUUCAUUUCGUUCAUGAUCGUAUUAUAAGAUUCAACCAAACCUUGACAAAUGAAAUUAUGCAAAUAAAAAAAAACAUUUAUUACAAUAAAAUAUCAAUGAGAUAAUGUGUUUAUAAUGUAAAAUUUGAAAUUGUAUGUAUUUAGAAUAAAUCAAUAUUAGGUAGUUUCUUUGCAAAGAUAUGGUUGGAAAUUUUGAAGUAAUAUUAUUAUUACUAAUGAAUGUUUUUGGUGGAAAAAUAUGAGAUUUAAUUAUAAAAAAAAUGUUUGGGGACAAAUAUGCUAAUUCUUAAAAAAGAGUAGGGUUGUAAUGAAAAAGUUGUAAUCAAAUCUGGGUUCAAUUUUAAAAUUAUUUGUAAUAUUUAAUGACUAAAAGUGUAAUUGAUCCAUGCAGAACCCCUUUUAUGCAAUGGAAAAAUCAUGGAGGGUCUUCAUUGCAAUUAUCCAUUCCACAAUUAAAUUAUAAUUUUUUAAGUAUUAUUAAAUUAAUUUAAUUAAAACAUAUUGAGUAAAUGGUGGUCAUAACUUUUACCUUAAAAUACACAUUGGUAAAUUUGUUUCAAUUUAUAAUAAUAGAGAAAUUAAUUAAAUACGCUAUUAAUUUUAUAAAUUAAAUUAAAUAUUGAAUAGUAUUAUUAAACUUAUUUUAGAUAAUUGAAAAACAAAAGUGAAAUAUAUUGUUUAAAGAAAUCAGUACCGUGCUUAGGAAACAUGUUUAGUCAUGCAUAUCACCUAGUGACCUUCAACUCACUCACUCUACGAGCUCAUUCACCAUACGGCUCGCAAUUCCUCCAGCUAAUCACUUCGCUCCCGCUUGCCCCCUUUGCUAGCUAGUUGAUCCGCAAUUUGUCACCUCCCUAUUCACCGACUAGCCAGUUCACCACUCUCCAGCUUCACCUCCCAGCUCAUCUACUCGCGAGAAAACCCCUUCAAAGAUACUUAUGAGGUUACGUGUCAAACUUAGAAAGGAAAUAUGUUGUUGUGUUUGACAUUUAAU
RNAcentral lists this long non-coding RNA (1405 nucleotides) under Gossypium raimondii (Peruvian cotton). RNAcentral describes it as "long non-coding RNA (GRAI_LNC007932)". The record is from RNAcentral. Lineage: Eukaryota; Viridiplantae; Streptophyta; Magnoliopsida; Malvales; Malvaceae.